UGCAUGUAUAUGUCCAAAUGAGCAGUACAUGCUGAGCUACUAUCUCUCCUUGCUACCCAGACAAGACGUCUGCAGAUCCAUCAGUCAAGUAGAUAUAGAGGAUUGCAGAAACUCACUGGUUUCUCCAGCUGCACCCUUCCCUGUGUCUCAGGGAGAGGGUAGUGCAAUGGCCAGGCUGGCUAUUUCUCCAGUGCGAGGAGAUCCUGACACCAGUCUUCACUAUAUCAUGCCUAAGGUCCGCUUGGUGGGAUGUCGGUUUUCUCCAGUGAAGCUAAUGAAGAUAGAGGGAUCUCAGCACUUGGCAGGACUAAAUGAGUUUUCCCCCUUUCUGGUACCUGAGGAUAAUUAA
RNAcentral lists this long non-coding RNA (349 nucleotides) under Struthio camelus australis. RNAcentral's name for it is "lncRNA (ENSSCUG00000013414.1)". Lineage: Eukaryota; Metazoa; Chordata; Aves; Struthioniformes; Struthionidae. The record is from RNAcentral.